GACGAACGCUGGCGGCGUGCUUAACACAUGCAAGUCGAACGGUAAGGCCCUUCGGGUACGACGAGUGGCGAACGGGUGGAGUAACACGUGGGUGAUCUGCCCUGCACUUCGGGAUAAGCCUGGGAAACUGGGUCUAAUACCGGAUAGGACCAUGGACUUCACGGUUUGUGGUGGAAAGCUUUUGCGGUGUGGGAUGGGCCCGCGGCCUAUCAGCUUGUUGGUGGGGUAAUGGCCUACCAAGGCGACGACGGGUAGCCGGCCUGAGAGGGUGUCCGGCCACACUGGGACUGAGAUACGGCCCAGACUCCUACGGGAGGCAGCAGUGGGGAAUAUUGCACAAUGGGCGCAAGCCUGAUGCAGCGACGCCGCGUGAGGGAUGACGGCCUCGGUUGGUAAACC
This 399-nucleotide ribosomal RNA is filed under the name uncultured bacterium. Its description in RNAcentral is "bacterial SSU rRNA". It matches the Rfam family "Bacterial small subunit ribosomal RNA", at positions 28 to 431 of the family's 1533-position model. The record is from RNAcentral.